This 460-nucleotide ribosomal RNA is filed under the name uncultured bacterium. RNAcentral's name for it is "partial 16S ribosomal RNA". It matches the Rfam family "Bacterial small subunit ribosomal RNA", at positions 338 to 795 of the family's 1533-position model. The record is from RNAcentral.
CCUACGGGGGGCAGCAGUGAGGAAUAUUGGUCAAUGGACGCAAGUCUGAACCAGCCAUGCCGCGUGCAGGAAGACGGCUCUAUGAGUUGUAAACUGCUUUUGUACGAGGGUAAACGCAGAUACGCGUAUCUGUCUGAAAGUAUCGUAUGAAUAAGGAUCGGCUAACUCCGUGCCAGCAGCCGCGGUAAUACGGAGGAUCCAAGCGUUAUCCGGAUUUAUUGGGUUUAAAGGGAGCGUAGGUGGUCGGAUAAGUUAGUGGUGAAAUCUCGAGGCUCAACUUCAGAAUUGCCUUUGAUACUGGUCGUCUAGAGUACAGUUGCGGUAGGCGGAAUGCGUGGUGUAGCGGUGAAAUGCUUAGAGAUCACACAGAACACCGAUUGCGAAGGCAGCUUACCAAGCUACGACUGACAUUGAUGCACGAAAGCGUGGGUAGCAAACAGGAUUAGAUACCCGGGUAGUC